RNAcentral lists this ribosomal RNA (678 nucleotides) under Naegleria gruberi. RNAcentral's name for it is "SSU rRNA". It matches the Rfam family "Eukaryotic small subunit ribosomal RNA", at positions 587 to 1187 of the family's 1831-position model. The record is from RNAcentral. Lineage: Eukaryota; Heterolobosea; Eutetramitea; Acrasida; Naegleriidae.
AGCUCCAAGAGCGUAUAUUAAUACUGCUGUAGUUAAAACGCCCGUAGUAUACCUAAGAGUGGGUGUGUAGUAAUUAGUUUUACCAGAGGACGGUUGGCGAGAGUUUAUCACUCUUGUUUGCCUACUUUUGGUAGACUUUAGUCGGGCUGGAUCUUUGGUCCUCGUCUGACAGUUGCUACGUACUUACUUACCACGGUUCAUCCGUGAGGCCCUUGGCUUGCAACUGUAAAUAAAUCGUUGUGCUUAAAGCGGGCUAUGAUACUCUGCCAGAGCGAUUUAGCAUGGGACUGCAGAGUAGCUGUAUUUGAGCGAAGGUUGCACCUCGGUGUGGCUGGAGCUUGGUACAGCGCUUGUAAUGGAGCUCAGGGUGAGGCCCCGGGUACCAUGAGGCUAGAGGUGAAAUUCUGAGACCCUCAUGUGACCAACUAAGGCGAAAGCUGUCGUGGGCCACCACAAGCUCGUCUAUCAGGGACGAAAGUUGGGGGAUCGAAGACGAUUAGAUACCGUCGUAGUCCCAACUAUAAACGAUACCAACCGAGUAUUUGGGAAGACACUAUCCCAGCGAUCUUCUCAGAACUCAAGGGAAACCUUAAGUCUUUGGGUUCUGGGGGGAGUAUAGUCGCAAGACCGAAACUUAAAGGAAUUGACGGAAAGGCACCACCAGGAGUGGAGUCUGCG